UUAACACAUGCAAGUCGAGGGGCAGCAUUUUAGUUUGCUUGCAAACUGAAGAUGGCGACCGGCGCACGGGUGAGUAACACGUAUCCAACCUGCCGAUAACUCCGGAAUAGCCUUUCGAAAGAAAGAUUAAUACCGGAUAGCAUACGAAUAUCGCAUGAUAUUUUUAUUAAAGAAUUUCGGUUAUCGAUGGGGAUGCGUUCCAUUAGUUUGUUGGCGGGGUAACGGCCCACCAAGACAACGAUGGAUAGGGGUUCUGAGAGGAAGGUCCCCCACAUUGGAACUGAGACACGGUCCAAACUCCUACGGGAGGCAGCAGUGAGGAAUAUUGGUCAAUGGGCGAGAGCCUGAACCAGCCAAGUAGCGUGAAGGAUGAAGGCUCUAUGGGUCGUAAACUUCUUUUAUAUGGGAAUAAAGUUUUCCACGUGUGGAAUUUUGUAUGUACCAUAUGAAUAAGGAUCGGCUAACUCCGUGCCAGCAGCCGCGGUAAUACGGAGGAUCCGAGCGUUAUCCGGAUUUAUUGGGUUUAAAGGGAGCGUAGGUGGAUUGUUAAGUCAGUUGUGAAAGUUUGCGGCUCAACCGUAAAAUUGCAGUUGAAACUGGCAGUCUUGAGUACAGUAGAGGUGGGCGGAAUUCGUGGUGUAGCGGUGAAAUGCUUAGAUAUCACGAAGAACUCCGAUUGCGAAGGCAGCUCACUAGACUGUCACUGACACCGAUGCUCGAAAGUGUGGGUAUCAAACAGGAUUAGAUACCCUGGUAGUCCACACAGUAAACGAUGAAUACUCGCUGUUUGCGAUAUACAGUAAGCGGCCAAGCGAAAGCAUUAAGUAUUCCACCUGGGGAGUACGCCGGCAACGGUGAAACUCAAAGGAAUUGACGGGGGCCCGCACAAGCGGAGGAACAUGUGGUUUAAUUCGAUGAUACGCGAGGAACCUUACCCGGGCUUAAAUUGCAACAGAAUAUAUUGGAAACAGUAUAGCCGUAAGGCUGUUGUGAAGGUGCUGCAUGGUUGUCGUCAGCUCGUGCCGUGAGGUGUCGGCUUAAGUGCCAUAACGAGCGCAACCCUUAUCUUUAGUUACUAACAGGUGAUGCUGAGGACUCUAGAGAGACUGCCGUCGUAAGAUGUGAGGAAGGUGGGGAUGACGUCAAAUCAGCACGGCCCUUACGUCCGGGGCUACACACGUGUUACAAUGGGGGGUACAGAAGGCGGCUACCUGGUGACAGGAUGCUAAUCCCAAAAACCUCUCUCAGUUCGGAUCGAAGUCUGCAACCCGACUUCGUGAAGCUGGAUUCGCUAGUAAUCGCGCAUCAGCCAUGGCGCGGUGAAUACGUUCCCGGGCCUUGUACACACCGCCCGUCAAGCCAUGAAAGCCGGGGGUACCUGAAGUACGUAACCGCAAGGAGCGUCCUAGGGUAAAACUGGUAAUUGGGGCUAAGA
Molecule: ribosomal RNA, 1435 nt
Filed under: uncultured organism
Description: SSU rRNA
Rfam family: Bacterial small subunit ribosomal RNA
Source: RNAcentral